This 243-nucleotide long non-coding RNA is filed under the name Physcomitrium patens. RNAcentral describes it as "long non-coding RNA (PPAT_LNC004726)". The record is from RNAcentral. Lineage: Eukaryota; Viridiplantae; Streptophyta; Bryopsida; Funariales; Funariaceae.
GUUAUGUGAGCAUAAUAAAGAAUUCAAAUACGAUAAAAUACACAUGCAUCUAAAAACUUGCAAACCUCUGUUAAAGAACUACAAUCCUCUUUUAUUCUUUCAAUUGCAUCAAUCUUAGUCGGAUCUGGUUUUCUUCUAUAAAAUCCAUACAAAUGUCCAACAAUCACAACAUCUUAUACUCCAAAUGUAGAUUUUGUACCUGAUAAUGUAAGAUGAACUUUUCCAAGCCGAGUUAAUAUUUUU